GACGUAGGGUGCGAGCGUUGUCCGGAUUUAUUGGGCGUAAAGAGCUCGUAGGCGGCUCGUCGCGUCGACCGUGAAAACCCGCGGCUUAACUGCGGGCUUGCGGUUGAUACGGGCGGGCUAGAGUUCGGUAGGGGAGACUGGAAUUCCUGGUGUAGCGGUGAAAUGCGUAGAUAUCUGGAGGAACACCGGUGGCGAAGGCGGCAUCCUGGACCGGCAUUGACGCUGAGGCGCGAAAGCCAGGGGAGCAAACGGG
RNAcentral lists this ribosomal RNA (253 nucleotides) under uncultured bacterium. Its description in RNAcentral is "partial 16S ribosomal RNA". It matches the Rfam family "Bacterial small subunit ribosomal RNA", at positions 524 to 776 of the family's 1533-position model. The record is from RNAcentral.